AGUGAACGCUGGCGGUAGGCCUAACACAUGCAAGUCGAACGGCAGCACAGUAAGAGCUUGCUCUUACGGGUGGCGAGUGGCGGACGGGUGAGGAAUACAUCGGAAUCUACUUUUUCGUGGGGGAUAACGUAGGGAAACUUACUCUAAUACCGCAUACGACCUACGGGUGAAAGCGGGGGAUCGUCGGACCUUGCGCGAUUGAAUGAGCCGAUGUCGGAUUAGCUAGUUGGCGGGGGAAAGGCCCACCAAGGCGACGAUCCGUAGCUGGUCUGAGAGGAUGGUCGGCGACACUGGAAGUGGGCCAGGGUCCAGACUCCUACGGGAGGCAGCAGUGGGGAAUAUUGGACAAUGGGGGCAAGCCUGAUCCAGCCAUACCGCGUGGGUGAAGAAGGCCUUCGGGUUGUAAAGCCCUUUUGUUGGGAAAGAAAAGCAGCAGGUUAAUACCCCGCUGUUCUGACGGUACCCAAAGAAUAAGCACCGGCUAACUUCGUG
Molecule: ribosomal RNA, 492 nt
Filed under: uncultured bacterium
Lineage: Bacteria
Description: partial 16S ribosomal RNA
Rfam family: Bacterial small subunit ribosomal RNA
Source: RNAcentral